Neofelis nebulosa (Clouded leopard) is the source of this 3741-nucleotide long non-coding RNA. RefSeq lists it as uncharacterized. The transcript is spliced from 7 exons. The record is from RefSeq and is a predicted model, not a curated record. NCBI's taxonomy places the organism in Eukaryota, Metazoa, Chordata, Mammalia, Carnivora, Felidae.
GAGAGAGGCGGGGGGGAAGGGGUAGAAAGGAGGGAGACCCAGAAUCCAAAGCAGGCUCCAGGCUCUGAGCUGUCAGCCCAGAGCCUGACGUGGACUUGAACCCACGAACCCAUGACCCGAGCCAAUGUCAGACGCUUAACCGACUGAGCCACCCAGGAGCCCCCAUUUUCACAGUGUUUUUAUUCAUGGCAGCUUCUGGCUGGUCACCACAUUCCUGAAAAAAAUUCUACAAAACAGAGCAUGGUUGACUAUUUCUUUUGGAUCAUCUGAACAAAGUACUCCUAUUAAUUAAUACAGCAUAAGACUAGGUUAGAUCCUCAAAGAUGUUCACAUGAAUUUUGUAAUACAAAAAUCCCUAGAUUUAAUCUUUGUGCUAAAAUAGAUUCUUUUUAUCCAGUUUUUGUUUGAAUUUCUGAACCAAAAUGUAGGGCUUCAGAUUUAACUUUGUGAAAAUUAAUGUUGCCAAUACAUUUUAGCACUCUCUGUAAGAUGGAGAUACUUUACAUUAUUUAAAGAAAGAUCACUUUAAAUCUUGUUGUAUUAUAUAAUAUAUGUAUUUCUCCAUCUCCUCUUAUUUGCACAUUCAGCUCAGUUAUUUUAAAAUAAAUUUGUGUCAAAGAUAAACAACAAAAUGAAUAUGCUCAGGAACUCUACAGUUGAGACUUCUCAUCAAGUUUAUACUCUGGCAUUAAUUCACAUUAAUUGAAUAUAGUUUUGAAUAUAAGUCCAAUUAAAUAUAUUAUUAUUCAGCCCAUGUUUUAUUCAGAGGUAUGAUUGGAAACUUUAUUGCUUCCUUUCUAAAAGAUAAUAAUAUCUGAAUAGCCAUCUCAAACAUAAAAUGACCCUAUUCAAUAGUUUUAGACAUAUUAGUUUUAUUUUCUGGAAGUUUGUUGGACUUUUUUUUUCCAUCAAAAUGUAAAGUCUUUAUAAGAGAUGUGUUAGUUAACACAGAUCCUUUAGAAAGGAGGGCCUGAGGAGCAGUCAAAGUGUUGCUGCCUAAAGAGGUACAAGCAUGUGUGUGUGGUAAGAUAAAGAGAAAAAAGGAACUGAGGCAAGGAACAGAGUGAGUGGAACAGAGCCAGUAGGUUUCUCAGUGGGCAUGUUUGCUUAAUAUUUAGUACUUCCCAGAAGAUUGUAAGGAGUAAUCCCACCUCAGUGCAUGGAAGAGAGUUAAAAGGGGGAAAUAUAUCUGCCUUGGUCUGUGUUAUUCCUGCUUUGUAUCAGUCAAGAUUCACCCACACUUACUCCCCAUAUCCCACCAGCUCAACUAUCUUGUCCUUCCAACUUUGUUCUCCCCUGGUAUAUCUGUGCCUGUCAGUACGUAGUUAGGAGGCAGCAAAUCUCAAACCUGGAAUUAAACCACAUGUAUUAGUCUGCUUAGGUUGCCAUAACAAAAUACCGUAGGCUGGGUAGCCUAAACAACUGAUUUCUAAAAGUUCUGGAGGCUGGAAAGUCCAAGAUCAGAGUGCCAACCUGGUCAGGUGGUGGUGACAGCUCUCUUGCUGGCAUGCAGAUAGCUACCUUCUUGCUGUGUCCUCACAUGGUAGGGGAAGAGACAGAGUCUGAAGUCUCUUCUUCAAAGGGUGCUAAUCUCAUGCUGAAGAUCCCACCCUCAGGGGUUCAAUAUGUGGGGACACAAUUCAUUCUAUAGCACCCUCCCCCUCAAAUUCAUGUCCUUCUUACAUGAAAAAUACAUUCAUUCCAUCCCAACAGCUCCAACACUUUUAGUUCAUUCUGUUAUCAACUCUAAAGUCUAAUAGAGUCCAAAGUCUUAUCUGAGUGUCUUUUAAAGCAGAUAUGGGUGAGAUUCAAGAUUCAACUAAUGCUAAGGCAAAAUUCUAAUCUAACUGUGAACCUGUGAAACCAGACAAGUGAUAUGCUUUCAAAACACAAUGGUAUUCCUAUUCCAAGUGGUAGAAAUGGGGAGGAGAAAAGGGGCAAUAGGUCCCAAGCAAGUCCAAGAUCUAACAAGGCAAAUUAUAUUAGAUCUCAAGGCUGGAGAAAAUCCUCUGGUUGGAUGUUCUGUCGUCUACACCCAGUAGGGUGACAGCAUACCCAUCCCGCCAUCACCACCAUGGCCCUUUGGGGCAGCCCUGUCCCUUUUGGUCAAUAUUGGGCAGAAAACAAUAGAAAUACAACACAUUGCUAAUGUGUAAAUUAAUAUAAUCUUUCCAGAGAACAACUUUGCAAUGCAAACCAAAAGCCAUAAAAUUUUGCAUAUCUUCUGGAGCAGUGACUUCAAGUGUAGCUAUUUAUAGUAAUAAUAUUUCUAUAGUUGCAUAAAACAUUAUAAUACAAGAAUGUUUAUCACAAUAAUUAUAUUAAAAUGAAACAUGUGGAAACCCCAAAUGUCAACAGAGAUUGAUGUAGUUACUCAGUAGCCUAAUGUGCAGACAAAAAGAAUGACAAUUAACAUCUUACUCAGACUAUUUAAUGUCAUGUAAGAAAUCCAAUGUAUAAUAUAUAAAUGAAGCAGGUUAUCAAACAACAUGUGAAAUUGUGGUAGAUGCUGUGUGUGUCACAGCCAUGUACCUUCACCCUCACUAUUUCAGUCUAUGCUUGCUCGACUUCUAAUUGCUGGAUUCUCCUUCUGUUUGCCUGAGUUUUCUUUGUCCAGGUGCUUAGCAGGCCAGAAUGCUAAAGAAUAAUGCUCCUGGAUGCAUACUUGCCCAAUAAUUGAUGGAGUUCAUGUACAAAUAGCCCAGGUCACACACUCUUUUGCUGAAGUGCUCCAUACUGACUCCCAGAGUUCCUCAUUGGGAUCAGAUCCAAGAAUCCACAGUGAUGACUUCCCAGCUGGAAUGGAGAUUUCAUGGGCCAUGUGCAUGAAUGAUCUCACUGAUGGCAGAGCAACAAAAUCAAGGGCCUGUGGCCAUCAGUGAGAUGGCUCAAUAGCAAGUUCAGCUUAUGUCUGAAUUUUGGAAAGCGUUCUCUGACUCUUUGAAUCUGUGCUGGCUGAUAACUCCAAGAAGCAGCUCUGGUCAUUUGAAUCAGGCCUGCCUAGACUCUGAAGUUUUUGGAGUGAGGAGAUAACAGGAGGAUGCUGUCCAUUCCAGUCCAUUCCAGCUAGUCCCUGAUAUUGAUGUGGGUGCUGUUUUGGCCUCAAUCCUGCCCUCUGCCUGUAUUCACUGAGUGGGAUUUCCCCACCAGAAACCUUGGCAUUCUCUGAGUCAUUUGGAUUUGGACUUACUUGUCCAGAAGUUUUAGUUCCUGGAGAACUUGAGAAGGACUCCUUCUCCAGUUGUUGGACUUUAUUCCCCCUGCUGCUGCUCCACACCACCACAGCUUAUUCAGUCACUGGACAGUUCUUGGUGAAGAAUGAUACUCCUUAUUGCAGCGUGCCCCUUCUGCCUUGGCAAAGACCCAGCACAUUCUUCCACCUGAUGGUUUGAUGAAAAACCAAGGUUCAAUAAGAAGCCCUUUGUCUUGGGGAAACUGAAUUUUCCUGCUGAGAUGGUAGACCAUACUUGGUUCUGUUUCCAGUUCGAAAUAGUGCCAUAUUUAUCAAACAACACUUUUAAGUAUCAUUUGAGAAAUGUAUGGGAUCUUCACUCUUCUUAUUUGUAAAUGAUGUAGUAUUUAAUAUAUCCAAAUGAAUUUAUACAAAUAAAUGCACAUUAUAAAGCAUAAUAAUUUGGAAUACAAAUAUAAUGGGAAAUCUUAUUUUAAUUUUUAUCCAUAUGAACUGUCCUGUUGCAAUGUAUAAAUGCAAGAAUAUAUCUUCAUGUAAAUAUUUUCAAU